ACUCAAAUGAAUUGACGGGGGCUCACACAAGCGGUGGAGCAUGUUGCUUAAUUCGAAGCAACGCGAAGAACCUUACCUGGGUUUGACAUGCACGGAUUAGUUCCUGGAAACAGGAAUGAGGCCCGCAAGGGUACAACGUGCACAGGUGCUGCAUGGCUGUCGUCAGCUCGUGCUGUGAAGUGUUUGGUUAAGUCCAUUAACGAGCGCAACCCCUGUCGCUAGUUGCUAACGGGUAAUGCCGAGGACUCUAGCGAGACUGCCGCUGUAAAGCGGAGGAAGGUGGGGAUGACGUCAAGUCCUCAUGGCCCUUACAUCCAGGGUUGCAAACGUGCUACAAUGGCGCGUACAAAGCGACGCGAGGCCGCAAGGCGGAGCAAAUCGCAAAAAACGCGCCCCAGUUCGGAUUGAAGGCUGCAACCCGCCUUCAUGAAGUUGGAAUCGCUAGUAAUCGGAGAUCAGCUACGCUCCGGUGAAUAAGUUCCUGAGCCUUGUACACACCGCCCGU
Molecule: ribosomal RNA, 505 nt
Filed under: uncultured bacterium
Lineage: Bacteria
Description: partial 16S ribosomal RNA
Rfam family: Bacterial small subunit ribosomal RNA
Source: RNAcentral